GGGGAUUUGGCUCAGUGGUAGAGCACUUGCCUAGCAAGUGCAAGGCCCUGGGUUCGAUCCCCAGCUCCG
This 69-nucleotide transfer RNA is filed under the name Rattus norvegicus (Norway rat). It matches the Rfam family "tRNA". Rfam says of the family: Transfer RNA (tRNA) molecules are approximately 80 nucleotides in length. Their secondary structure includes four short double-helical elements and three loops (D, anti-codon, and T loops). The record is from Rfam by way of RNAcentral. Lineage: Eukaryota; Metazoa; Chordata; Mammalia; Rodentia; Muridae.